This 39-nucleotide transfer RNA is filed under the name Desmocladus confertospicatus. RNAcentral's name for it is "Harperia confertospicata partial tRNA-Leu". The record is from RNAcentral. RNAcentral also lists the same sequence under 1 other name. Lineage: Eukaryota; Viridiplantae; Streptophyta; Magnoliopsida; Poales; Restionaceae.
AAAUCCGUCGACUUUCGAGAUCGUGAGGGUUCAAAUCCC